UACGUAGGGAGCAAGCGUUGUUCGGAUUUACUGGGCGUAAAGGGCGCGUAGGCGGCAAUUCAAGUCAUCUGUGAAAUCUCCGGGCUUAACUCGGAACGGUCAGAUGAUACUGCUUUGCUAGAGUGCAGAAGGGGCAAUCGGAAUUCUCGGUGUAGCGGUGAAAUGCGUAGAUAUCGGGAGGAACACCUGUGGCGAAGGCGGCCCCCUGGUUGGAUACUGACGCUGAUACGCGAAAGCGUGGGGAGCAAACAGG
Molecule: ribosomal RNA, 253 nt
Filed under: uncultured bacterium
Lineage: Bacteria
Description: partial 16S ribosomal RNA
Rfam family: Bacterial small subunit ribosomal RNA
Source: RNAcentral